This 76-nucleotide transfer RNA is filed under the name Escherichia coli. RNAcentral's name for it is "tRNA-Ala". It matches the Rfam family "tRNA". From Rfam's summary of the family: Transfer RNA (tRNA) molecules are approximately 80 nucleotides in length. Their secondary structure includes four short double-helical elements and three loops (D, anti-codon, and T loops). The record is from RNAcentral. Lineage: Bacteria; Pseudomonadati; Pseudomonadota; Gammaproteobacteria; Enterobacterales; Enterobacteriaceae.
GGGGCUAUAGCUCAGCUGGGAGAGCGCUUGCAUUGCAUGCAGGAGGUCAGCGGUUCGAUCCCGCUUAGCUCCACCA